This 438-nucleotide ribosomal RNA is filed under the name uncultured bacterium. RNAcentral describes it as "partial 16S ribosomal RNA". It matches the Rfam family "Bacterial small subunit ribosomal RNA", at positions 29 to 507 of the family's 1533-position model. The record is from RNAcentral.
AACGAACGCUGGCGGCAUGCCUAACACAUGCAAGUCGAACGAGACCUUCGGGUCUAGUGGCGCACGGGUGCGUAACGCGUGGGAACCUGCCCUUAGGUUCGGAAUAACUCCCCGAAAGGGGUGCUAAUACCGGAUAAUGUCUUAGGACCAAAGAUUUAUCGCUGUUGGAUGGGCCCGCGUUGGAUUAGCUAGUUGGUAGGGUAAAAGCCUACCAAGGCGUCGAUGGGUAGCUGGUCUGUGAGGAUGAUCGGCCACAUUGGGACUGAGAUACGGCCCAGACUCCUACAGGAGGAAGCGGUGGGGGAUAUUGUACAAUGGGCGGAAGCCUGAUGCAGCAACGCCGCGUGCGGGAUGAAGGCCUUAGGGUUGUAAACCGAUUUUGCCUGUGACGAAGAGUGAGUGACGGUAAUGGGUAAAGAAGCACCGGCUAACUACGUG